UUGAUCCUGGCUCAGGAUGAACGCUGGCGGCGUGCUAAACACAUGCAAGUCGAACGAAGCAUUUACACGGAAUCCCUCGGGAGGAAGUGUGAAUGACUGAGUGGCGGACGGGUGAGUAACGCGUGGGCAACCUGCCCCGUACCGGGGGAUAACAGCCGGAAACGGCUGCUAAUACCGCAUAAGCGCACAGUACCGCAUGGUACGGUGUGAAAAGCUGAGGCGGCAUAGGAUGGGUCCGCGUUGGAUUAGCCAGUUGGCGGGGUAACGGCCCACCAAACCGACGAUCCAUAGCCGACCUGAGAGGGCGACCGGCCACAUUGGGACUGAGACACGGCCCAAACUCCUACGGGAGGCAGCAGUGGGGAAUAUUGCACAAUGGGGGAAACCCUGAUGCAGCGACGCCGCGUGAGUGAGGAAGUAUUUCGGUAUGUAAAGCUCUAUCAGCAGGGAAGAAAAUGACGGUACCUGACUAAGAAGCCCCGGCUAACUACGUGCCAGCAGCCGCGGUAAUACGUAGGGGGCAAGCGUUAUCCGGAUUUACUGGGUGUAAAGGGAGCGUAGACGGACUUGCAAGUCUGAUGUGAAAAUCCGGGGCCCAACCCCGGAACUGCAUUGGAAACUGUAUAUCUAGAGUGUCGGAGAGGCAAGUGGAAUUCCUGGUGUAGCGGUGAAAUGCGUAGAUAUCAGGAGGAACACCAGUGGCGAAGGCGGCUUGCUGGACGAUGACUGACGUUGAGGCUCGAAAGCGUGGGGAGCAAACAGGAUUAGAUACCCUGGUAGUCCACGCCGUAAACGAUGAACACUAGGUGUCCGGGGGGAUUGACCUCUGGGUGCCACAGCGAAAGCGUUAAGUGUUCCACCUGGGGAGUACGCCGGCAACGGUGAAACUCAAAGGAAUUGACGGGGGCCCGCACAAGCGGAGGAACAUGUGGUUUAAUUCGAUGAUACGCGAGGAACCUUACCCGGGCUCAAACGCGGCCGGAAUGAUCCUGAAAGGGGUCAGCCCUACGGGGCCAGCCGCGAGGUGCUGCAUGGUUGUCGUCAGCUCGUGCCGUGAGGUGUCGGCUUAAGUGCCAUAACGAGCGCAACCCCUACCGUCAGUUGCCAGCAGGUAAAGCUGGGGACUCUGGCGGGACUGCCGGCGCAAGCUGUGAGGAAGGCGGGGAUGACGUCAAAUCAGCACGGCCCUUACGUCCGGGGCGACACACGUGUUACAAUGGCAGGUACAGCGGGAAGCCACCUGGCGACAGGGAGCGGAACCCGAAAGCCUGUCUCAGUUCGGAUUGGAGUCUGCAACCCGACUCCAUGAAGCUGGAUUCGCUAGUAAUCGCGCAUCAGCCACGGCGCGGUGAAUACGUUCCCGGGCCUUGCACACACCGCCCGUCA
Molecule: ribosomal RNA, 1386 nt
Filed under: uncultured bacterium
Lineage: Bacteria
Description: partial 16S ribosomal RNA
Rfam family: Bacterial small subunit ribosomal RNA
Source: RNAcentral